CACAGAGGCCUCGAGCGUUAGGCGGAAUCACUGGGCUUAAAGCGUGUGUAGGCGGGCCCGUAAGUGUCUUGUGAAAUCCCACGGCUCAACCGUGGAACUGCUGGGCAUACUGCGGGUCUUGGGCCAACUAGGGGCAGCCGGAACAAGCGGUGGAGCGGUGAAAUGCGUAGAUAUCGCUUGGAACGCCGAAGGUGAAAACAGGCUGCUGGGGUUGCGCCGACGCUGAGACACGAAAGCCAGGGGAGCAAACGGG
RNAcentral lists this ribosomal RNA (253 nucleotides) under uncultured bacterium. RNAcentral describes it as "partial 16S ribosomal RNA". It matches the Rfam family "Bacterial small subunit ribosomal RNA", at positions 524 to 776 of the family's 1533-position model. The record is from RNAcentral.